RNAcentral lists this ribosomal RNA (393 nucleotides) under uncultured bacterium. RNAcentral describes it as "partial 16S ribosomal RNA". It matches the Rfam family "Bacterial small subunit ribosomal RNA", at positions 523 to 918 of the family's 1533-position model. The record is from RNAcentral.
AUACGGAGGAUCCGAGCGUUAUCCGGAUUUAUUGGGUUUAAAGGGAGCGUAGGUGGACAGUUAAGUCAGUUGUGAAAGUUUGCGGCUCAACCGUAAAAUUGCAGUUGAUACUGGCUGUCUUGAGUACAGUAGAGGUGGGCGGAAUUCGUGGUGUAGCGGUGAAAUGCUUAGAUAUCACGAAGAACUCCGAUUGCGAAGGCAGCUCACUGGACUGCAACUGACACUGAUGCUCGAAAGUGUGGGUAUCAAACAGGAUUAGAUACCCUGGUAGUCCACACAGUAAACGAUGAAUACUCGCUGUUUGCGAUAUAUAGUAAGCGGCCAAGCGAAAGCAUUAAGUAUUCCACCUGGGGAGUACGCCGGCAACGGUGAAACUCAAAGGAAUUGACGGGG